RNAcentral lists this ribosomal RNA (252 nucleotides) under uncultured bacterium. RNAcentral's name for it is "partial 16S ribosomal RNA". It matches the Rfam family "Bacterial small subunit ribosomal RNA", at positions 524 to 776 of the family's 1533-position model. The record is from RNAcentral.
UACGGAGGAUGCGAGCGUUAUCCGGAUUUAUUGGGUUUAAAGGGUGCGUAGGCGGACGCUUAAGUCAGCGGUAAAAUUGCGGGGCUCAACCUCGUCGAGCCGUUGAAACUGGGUGCCUUGAGUGGGCGAGAAGUACGCGGAGUGCGUGGUGUAGCGGUGAAAUGCAUAGAUAUCACGCAGAACUCCGAUUGCGAAGGCAGCGUACCGGCGCCCAACUGACGCUGAAGCACGAAGGCGUGGGUAUCGAACAGG